UGCAACAAAAACAAACUGUCUCUAAAAUCCACAUGUUCACAGAAAUACUCAGGCCUCUUUUGUAGCUUAUUCAUAACCACUGGUGGGUUCCCAUGGCAACUGCACUGGGUGUGUGUGUGUGUGUGUGUGGAGGGUUAGUCCAGUGCCAAUGCCGGAGCACGUACAAAGCAUAAAAUAGCAGUGGUUCGUCCAACACAGCUUCAAAAAACAGAAGUUAGCUCAGCAUUGGGACGCCACUGCGUUUUUAGAGCAGCAAACAUACACACACAAGUGUGUGCCUGCGUGUGUGUGUGUGUGUGUAGAUCACUGUGUCCUUGCAGCUGGUUGCAGCUUCUUUACCAAAGCAGUCACGUAGAGCGUCAUAGAUCAAGUGUAAAGGCUCGGGGCUUUUAUACGGCUCCUCUUGCCGUUGGCGGCGCGCUCACUUAACCCCCAUAACUUUCCAGACCCGUUCUGAACAGCAGAAACACGGUGAAGAGAGCAAAGACGGUACAUUAUGAAGGAGACGCCGAGCAGAGAUGGAGGGGCGGAAUGAUGAGAGAAAGGACGCAGAAGGUGGCAGAAUGAGAUAAGACGUGUGGAGAGAAAAGGUGUCUGCAGAUGAAGACCACAGCCAGACAGAGAUGUAAAGACAGAAAAGGAGAGGGAGAGAGAGAAAGACAGGCGGAUAAAGAGAGUCAUAUGAGGGCUGUUCAAAAAGCAGUAAACAGCAGAAGACGAGAUUGUGUUUUGAAAAGAAUGCAAGCUGGAAGAGACAUUUAAAAAAACAUAGACUGUCCAAAUGAGACAAAGACUCUCUUCUGAAAUGCUAUGAAAACAUUCCUCCAGUAUCUUAUUUCUGAGUUUCUUUAAUCAGCAUGAAUUCUCAUCCCCACUGAUCUGUUCUGUGAAUCGAUCCACCUCCCCCCACUGAGGAACAGGUGGAAGUGCAGACAGCAUUAGUGCUGAGCAGGUGAAAAACAUCAGCAUCAACCGACGGGAGACAGAGGACAGGAUCGUCUCUGACAACAUCUAGGUUUAUUCUAGACAUGUUUCCUGGUCAUCAGCUCAAUAAAAGCUCAGAAAGCAUCAAGUGAAGGGCCCUGUGGCGAAGGCGAAGCACGCACAAAGCCAGACCCCAUCGCUUCUUUUCGGAAAUGCAUGAGCUCCGCUCCAUAAGGGAAAGAAACAAGGAUGGACGCAGGGUCAGAGGGAAAACAGCGAGUCCUUUCCUGUGCUGCAGAUGCACGGACACAGCAGUGGUGAGUCAAACUGAGCCCAGCCUUGAAUUCCAGCUCAGAUCAUGUGGGCCUGUGACACCCACCUGCUAAGGAUUCUGCUGGGUGCACACACACUUAGGUUUGUAGACUGUGUGAACUAAGGCGUGUGUACACACACACAUAUAUCAUAAAUCCUCCCCCCCAAAUUUUUUUUUUGCUUAAAAAAGCAAAAGAAGGGGAAAAACAUCAACAAUC
Cynoglossus semilaevis (tongue sole) is the source of this 1454-nucleotide long non-coding RNA. RefSeq lists it as uncharacterized. Lineage: Eukaryota; Metazoa; Chordata; Actinopteri; Pleuronectiformes; Cynoglossidae. The record is from RefSeq and is a predicted model, not a curated record. The transcript is spliced from 3 exons.